GGUAUGAUUCAUGACUGGGGUGAAGUCGUAACAAGGUAACCGUAGGGGAACCUGCGGUUGGAUCACCUCCUUA
This 73-nucleotide ribosomal RNA is filed under the name Haemophilus influenzae. Its description in RNAcentral is "partial 16S ribosomal RNA". It matches the Rfam family "Bacterial small subunit ribosomal RNA", at positions 1461 to 1533 of the family's 1533-position model. RNAcentral also lists the same sequence under 2 other names. Lineage: Bacteria; Pseudomonadati; Pseudomonadota; Gammaproteobacteria; Pasteurellales; Pasteurellaceae. The record is from RNAcentral.